This 378-nucleotide unclassified non-coding RNA is filed under the name plant metagenome. RNAcentral describes it as "partial contains 5.8S ribosomal RNA, internal transcribed spacer 2, and large subunit ribosomal RNA". The stretch from base 1 to 105 matches the Rfam family "5.8S ribosomal RNA", at positions 50 to 154 of the family's 154-position model. The record is from RNAcentral.
GAAAUGCGAUAAGUAAUGUGAAUUGCAGAAUUCAGUGAAUCAUCGAUUCUUUGAACGCACCUUGCGCUCCUUGGUAUUCCUUGGAGCAUGCCUGUUUGAGUAUCAUGAAAUCUUCAAAGUAAAUCUUUUGUUAACUCAAUUGGCUUCUACUUUGGUAUUGGAGGUCUUUGCAGCUUCACACCUGCUCCUCUUUGUUCAUUAGCUGGAUCUCAGUGUUAUGCUUGGUUCCACUCGGCGUGAUAAGUUAUCUAUCGCUGAGGACACUGUAAAAGGUGGCCAAGGUAAAUGCAGAUGAACCGCUUCUAAUAGUCCAUUGACUUGGACAAUACUUUUAUGAUCUGAUCUCAAAUCAGGUAGGACUACCCGCUGAACUUAAGC